Molecule: ribosomal RNA, 453 nt
Filed under: uncultured soil bacterium
Lineage: Bacteria
Description: bacterial SSU rRNA
Rfam family: Bacterial small subunit ribosomal RNA
Source: RNAcentral
AGAUUGAACGCUAGCGGGAUGCUUUACACAUGCAAGUCGAACGGCAGCGCGGACUUCGGUCUGGCGGCGAGUGGCGAACGGGUGAGUAAUAUAUCGGAACGUGCCCAGUAGCGGGGGAUAACUACGCGAAAGCGUGGCUAAUACCGCAUACGCCCUACGGGGGAAAGGGGGGGAUUCUUCGGAACCUCUCACUAUUGGAGCGGCCGAUAUCAGAUUAGCUAGUUGGUGAGGUAAAGGCUCACCAAGGCGACGAUCUGUAGCUGGUUUGAGAGGACGACAGUCACACUGGAACUGAGACACGGUCCAGACCUCCUACGGGAGCAGCAGUGGGGAAUAGUUGGACAAGUGGGACAAAGCCUAGAUCCAGCCAUGCCGCGUGUGUAGAAGAAGGUCUUCGGAUUAGUAAAGCUACGUUUAAGGUGGGAAGGAAGGUCUAGUUAACUAAUACGUAUU